Zea mays is the source of this 166-nucleotide long non-coding RNA. RefSeq lists it as uncharacterized. The transcript has 2 exons. NCBI's taxonomy places the organism in Eukaryota, Viridiplantae, Streptophyta, Magnoliopsida, Poales, Poaceae. The record is from RefSeq and is a predicted model, not a curated record.
CUUAUUGAUUAUAUCAUUUUGUGUUUUUAGCUGGCAUGGGCUUGGAAGCAUGCCUUCAGCGGAGGCGAUGCGUCUUUUUGUCAAAAUCUUAGAGGAAGAAGAUCCUGGAUGGUACUCUAGGGCCCCUGAGUUCAACCCUGAGCCUGUUGUAGAUAUUCAGAUGCAU